Etheostoma cragini (Arkansas darter) is the source of this 160-nucleotide long non-coding RNA. RefSeq lists it as uncharacterized. The transcript is spliced from 3 exons. Lineage: Eukaryota; Metazoa; Chordata; Actinopteri; Perciformes; Percidae. The record is from RefSeq and is a predicted model, not a curated record.
GAUUCCAUAACUACUAGAACUGCUGGGAGCGGUCAUUUUCACCGUCAGAUUCCAAACUCUAUAAUCUCUCAUGAUAAAUACCUAAUUGCAAUAUUAUUGCAGGUAUUGUUUUAGGAUAUCUUUAGGAAAACGAAAUCACACCAAAAUGUAGAUUUUGUGU